GUGGGAGGUAGAGCAGCAGGGUAUUGCCUCAGUAACGGCGAGUGAAGCGGCAAAAGCUCAAAUUUUAAAGCUGACAUCUUCGGUGUCCGCGUUGUAAUUUUGUGAGGCAUCUCCGGGUAGGGCGCCGGCCUAAGUUCCUUGGAACAGGACGUCACAGAGGGUGAGAAUCCCGUGCUUGGCUGGCUGUCCCCGUCCAUGUGAGGUGUCUUCGACGAGUCGAGUUGUUUGGGAAUGCAGCUCAAAAUGGGUGGUAAAUUUCAUCUAAAGCUAAAUAUUGGUGGGAGACCGAUAGCGCACAAGUAGAGUGAUCGAAAGAUGAAAAGCACUUUGAAAAUAGAGUUAAAAAGUACGUGAAAUUGUUGAAAGGGAAGCGCUUGAGAUCAGACUUCGGUAAGGGGUGAUCAGCCGUCCUUCUGGGCGGUGCACUUGCCCCCCUCCGGGCCAGCAUCGGUUGAGGCGGCGGGAUAAAGGUCCCGGGAAUGUGGCUCCUUCACGGGAGUGUUAUAGCCCGGGUGAAUGCCGCCAGCUUCGACCGAGGACCGCACCCGCAAGGGUUAGGAUGCUUGGCAUAAUGGUCUUCAGCGACCCGUCUUGAAACACGGACCAAGGAGUCUAACAUCUAUGCGAGUGUUUGGGUGUCAAACCCUUGCGCGAAAUGAAAGUGAACGGAGGUGGGAACCCGCAAGGGUGCACCAUCGACCGGUCCCGAAGUCUUCUGAAGGAUCUGAGUAGGAGCAUAGCUGUUGGGACCCGAAAGAUGGUGAACUAUGCCUGAAUAGGGUGAAGCCAGAGGAAACUCUGGUGGAGGCUCGCAGCGGUUCUGACGUGCAAAUCGAUCGUCAAAUUUGGGUAUAGGGGCGAAAGACUAAUCGAACCAUGCUAAGUGUGUU
This 890-nucleotide ribosomal RNA is filed under the name Morchella exuberans. RNAcentral describes it as "partial 28S ribosomal RNA". It matches the Rfam family "Eukaryotic large subunit ribosomal RNA", at positions 49 to 956 of the family's 3401-position model. Lineage: Eukaryota; Fungi; Ascomycota; Pezizomycetes; Pezizales; Morchellaceae. The record is from RNAcentral.